Molecule: ribosomal RNA, 418 nt
Filed under: Salmonella enterica
Lineage: Bacteria; Pseudomonadati; Pseudomonadota; Gammaproteobacteria; Enterobacterales; Enterobacteriaceae
Also listed under: 1 other name
Description: bacterial SSU rRNA
Rfam family: Bacterial small subunit ribosomal RNA
Source: RNAcentral
UGAAGAGUUUGAUCAUGGCUCAGAUUGAACGCUGGCGGCAGGCCUAACACAUGCAAGUCGAACGGUAACAGGAAGCAGCUUGCUGCUUCGCUGACGAGUGGCGGACGGGUGAGUAAUGUCUGGGAAACUGCCUGAUGGAGGGGGAUAACUACUGGAAACGGUGGCUAAUACCGCAUAACGUCGCAAGACCAAAGAGGGGGACCUUCGGGCCUCUUGCCAUCAGAUGUGCCCAGAUGGGAUUAGCUAGUUGGUGAGGUAACGGCUCACCAAGGCGACGAUCCCUAGCUGGUCUGAGAGGAUGACCAGCCACACUGGAACUGAGACACGGUCCAGACUCCUACGGGAGGCAGCAGUGGGGAAUAUUGCACAAUGGGCGCAAGCCUGAUGCAGCCAUGCCGCGUGUAUGAAGAAGGCCUUC